Molecule: ribosomal RNA, 780 nt
Filed under: human gut metagenome
Description: bacterial SSU rRNA
Rfam family: Archaeal small subunit ribosomal RNA
Source: RNAcentral
GCGAAGGCGUCUUGCUAGAACGGAUCCGACGGUGAGGGACGAAGCCCUGGGUCGCAAACGGGAUUAGAUACCCCGGUAGUCCAGGGUGUAAACGCUGCAGACUUGGUGUUGGAGGCCCUUCGGGGGCAUUCAGUGCCGGAGAGAAGUUGUUAAGUCUGCUACUUGGGGAGUACGUCCGCAAGGAUGAAACUUAAAGGAAUUGGCGGGGGAGCACCGCAACGGGAGGAGCGUGCGGUUUAAUUGGAUUCAACACCGGAAAACUCACCAAGGGCGACUGUUACAUGAAAGCCAGGCUAAUGACCUUGCUAGAUUUUCAGAGAGGUGGUGCAUGGCUGUCGUCAGUUCGUACCGUAAGGCGUUCUCUUAAGUGAGAUAACGAACGAGACCCUCACUGAUAAUUGCUACUCCAUCCUCUGGGGUGGAGGCACAUUAUUGGGACCGCUGGCGCUAAGUCAGAGGAAGGAGAGGUCAACGGUAGGUCAGUAUGCCCCGAAUCUCUUGGGCUACACGCGCGCUACAAAGGGCGGGACAAUGGGCUCCGACGCCGAAAGGCGAAGGUAAUCUCGAAACCCGUCCAUAGUUCGGAUUGAGGGUUGUAACUCACCCUCAUGAAGCUGGAUUCCGUAGUAAUCGCGAAUCAACAACUCGCGGUGAAUAUGCCCCUGCUCCUUGCACACACCGCCCGUCAAACCAUCCGAGUUGGGUUUCAGUGAGGUUGCCUCUAAUUAGGGUAUUCGAACUGAGAUUUAGCAAGGAAGGUUAAGUCGUAACAAGGUAUCU